CCCUUAGAUGUCCUGGGCCGCACGCGCGCUACACUGAGUGUCUGAGAUACGAGUCUGCCUGGUCCGGCAAGGUCUAGGUAAUCGCUAAAAGACACAUCAUGCUUGGGAUAGAUUAUUGCAAAUAUUAAUUUUGAACGAGGAAUUCCUAGUAAGCGCAAGUCAACAGCUUGCGUUGAUUACGUCCCUGCCCUUUGUACACACCGCCCGUCGCUACUACUGAUUGGAUGUUUAAGCGAGGUUCUCGAACUGCUAGCGACUUAGCUUCGGUGAGGUCGCAGUGUGGGAAGUGAACCUAGCUUUGGUGUCUAGAGGAAGUAAAAGUCGUAACA
Molecule: ribosomal RNA, 329 nt
Filed under: uncultured eukaryote
Lineage: Eukaryota
Description: partial 18S ribosomal RNA
Rfam family: Eukaryotic small subunit ribosomal RNA
Source: RNAcentral